RNAcentral lists this non-coding RNA (28 nucleotides) under Rattus norvegicus (Norway rat). The record is from RNAcentral. Lineage: Eukaryota; Metazoa; Chordata; Mammalia; Rodentia; Muridae.
GAACCGGAGAUCUUGUGACCUUCAUGUC